RNAcentral lists this long non-coding RNA (859 nucleotides) under Homo sapiens (human). RNAcentral describes it as "non-protein coding ATP6V0E2-AS1:21". The record is from RNAcentral. Lineage: Eukaryota; Metazoa; Chordata; Mammalia; Primates; Hominidae.
GCCCGGUUUCGGCGAUGGGUUAUAGGGUCCGCGUCAGCCCCGCGCCCGCACAGCCAACGUCACGCCGCAUUCUUAUUUCCAAAGACCCCUGGAGCUUGGGGUCCCACCCCAGCGGUCUUUCGGGGCGUCCCCUGCCCUUCACGCGCCGCGCCGGCUCGGCCCGAAGCGCCCUGCGGACCCGCAGCCUGGGCCGCCCCGAACCUGACGGCCCCGCGGGGGUCGGACGCGGGAGGAACGGCCUCGCUUUCAGAGACGCAGCGGGAGGGCGGUCCCCGCUGUCCCUCUGGCCGGGUCCUCAGCACGCGUUCUCCUCACUCCCAGGACUAGCGAGCGGCGGGCGCGGACCGGGGCCUGGGGUCGGAGGCGGCGCAGCCAGAAAGGCCCCAGCGGCGCUGAGACGUUUGGGGGAAGGCGGGGGCUUCGCGUUUCGAUGGCGGGAAGCGGAAUGAGGUUGGACCGGCCGGGCCGGCGUUCAGGGACCCGGCGGGAGGCGGAGGGCUGGCGUCCUCGCGGACAUCCAUCUGCAGCGAACCAGGCAGAGGCUUUGGGAUUAGAUCCUUGACUCCUUGCGUCAGUAGUUAAGCUUUGUGAUGGUCUGAGGUCCAUGAAGGGAUUAAAACCAGGAACUGGCUCCUUCUCCAACCACUAAAGCCUCAUCUGGGCCCACAAGCCCUGGCUGUUCCCUGGAGCGUGACUGGAAGAUGUGAGCAGCUUUGUGCUGGAGCCCCAUUUCCAUGGUGCAUGCUGCUGCCAAACCAGAGAUCACUUGUAGACUUGAAAGGGAACAUGAGCUUUGGGUGAAGGAUUCCCAGCCCCCAACAGAGGCCAAAAAGCUACCACCCAGCCAGGUAAGCCUUGA